CGCCAGACUCCUACGGGAGGCAGCAGUGGGGAAUAUUGCACAAUGGGGGAAACCCUGAUGCAGCGACGCCGCGUGAGUGAAGAAGUAAUUCGUUAUGUAAAGCUCUAUCAGCAGGGAAGAAAAUGACGGUACCUGAGUAAGAAGCCCCGGCUAACUACGUGCCAGCAGCCGCGGUAAUACGUAGGGGGCAAGCGUUAUCCGGAUUUACUGGGUGUAAAGGGAGCGUAGACGGCAGUGCAAGUCUGGAGUGAAAGGCGGGGGCUCAACCCCCGGACUGCUCUGGAAACUGUCCGGCUGGAGUGCAGGAGAGGUAAGUGGAAUUCCUAGUGUAGCGGUGAAAUGCGUAGAUAUUAGGAGGAACACCAGUGGCGAAGGCGGCCUGCUGGACGACAACUGACGGUGAGGCGCGAAAGCGUGGGGAGCAAACAGGAUUAGAUACCCUGGUA
RNAcentral lists this ribosomal RNA (446 nucleotides) under uncultured bacterium. RNAcentral describes it as "bacterial SSU rRNA". It matches the Rfam family "Bacterial small subunit ribosomal RNA", at positions 329 to 792 of the family's 1533-position model. The record is from RNAcentral.